This 287-nucleotide ribosomal RNA is filed under the name uncultured bacterium. Its description in RNAcentral is "partial 16S ribosomal RNA". It matches the Rfam family "Bacterial small subunit ribosomal RNA", at positions 334 to 618 of the family's 1533-position model. The record is from RNAcentral.
GGCGCCUACGGGGGGCAGCAGUGAGGAAUAUUGGUCAAUGGCCGAGAGGCUGAACCAGCCAAGUCGCGUGAGGGAAGACGGCCCUACGGGUUGUAAACCUCUUUUGUCGGGGAGCAAAGCGAGUCACGUGUGACUCAUUGAGAGUACCCGAAGAAAAAGCAUCGGCUAACUCCGUGCCAGCAGCCGCGGUAAUACGGAGGAUGCGAGCGUUAUCCGGAUUUACUGGGUGUAAAGGGAGCGUAGACGGCAGCGCAAGUCUGGAGUGAAAUGCCGGGGCCCAACCCCGG